Long non-coding RNA from Asterias rubens (European starfish), 935 nucleotides. RefSeq lists it as uncharacterized. The record is from RefSeq and is a predicted model, not a curated record. The transcript is spliced from 3 exons. NCBI's taxonomy places the organism in Eukaryota, Metazoa, Echinodermata, Asteroidea, Forcipulatida, Asteriidae.
GUGAGAAAAAAACAUGUCACAAAAAAGUGUCUUUGUGCAUUUGUCUAGCGUUGAAACGAAAGCUUUUCCAUUUUCGGAAAAUAGUUGAAGACAUUUAUUUGCAUGUAUUUGAAGAAGAACAAGAAUUAGAGGACGGUCAAGUGUGAAAAUGUCCUUAAAGCUGUGGCAAUCGCUAGCCCAAAUUACGGACACGUAAAACACGACGAUGGACAACUGUCACAGACUGAAGGUCGGUAAGACCCUCCGAUCUCUAUCACAGACUGUGUUCAGGUGAACUUUCAACUAAAAAGGUGUUCGACUGGUUAUAUUACUAGCAGAAUUGAUCAUAGGCGACUGCGUCAAACGACCGAACAUGCCCGCUAUACACUCAAUGGAUGCUGACUGAUGUGGACACUUUCAGAGUUGAGGAGUUUGUCCCCACGUGUUUAAUGACAACAUGAUUGUGCUGAUGUUAACAUUGCCAGAUCGUAACCUCGUUUUAAUGGGACACUUGAUGAGACAGCAUAGCAACGCCAACUAAGUAAGGAUACAGUGCUGUUGAAAAAGUUCCAUAUGUACCAUCUCACCACAAGGAUAAAAAACGUGCCAACUGGACAAACCUACUCCAAGCGCUUGACAGCAUUCUAUAAUGUGCGCGUGUUCAUUGCUCAUGGAAAAAGAGUAGAUGUGGUCAAAGCAAACUUUGUUCGGACAAAAGUCCACCGUGCAUAUACUUAAAAUGCAAGUGCACAAACUGUGAAAGUGUAAAAACUAAAGCUCUGAUUAAAAACAGUGAGAAGUCUGAUAAAGAAUACCUAUUUAUGGCAAAUAAUAAUUCAAAUUGAGAUAAUUAUGUAUCUUCAUGUAAACAGAUGAGUGAAGCUAUAGUAAAAACCUAAAACCACAAAUAAAUAAUGUUGGUCUCUAUUAACUACUUACUUUUAAAGUUUACUGAU